Molecule: ribosomal RNA, 301 nt
Filed under: uncultured bacterium
Lineage: Bacteria
Description: partial 16S ribosomal RNA
Rfam family: Bacterial small subunit ribosomal RNA
Source: RNAcentral
CAGCAGCCGCGGUAAUACGAAGGGGGCUAGCGUUGUUCGGAAUUACUGGGCGUAAAACGCACGUAGGCUGACAUUUAAGUCAGGGGUGAAAUCCCGGGGCUCAACCUCGGAACUGCCUUUGAUACUGGGUGUCUUGAGUGUGGAAGAGGUAAGUGGAAUUGCGAGUGUAGAGGUGAAAUUCGUAGAUAUUCGCAGGAACACCAGUGGCGAAGGCGGCUUACUGGUCCACAACUGACGCUGAGGUGCGAAAGCGUGGGGAGCAAACAGGAUUAGAUACCCGCGUAGUCCCUGUCUCUUAUAC